ACCAGCGCUGCCCGGCCUCCCGGGGCGUCUCUGCGCCUCCGCCCGUCUUCCAGCCAGUGUGGUAUGGGCCGGGCUUCCAGCCCCCAACCUCUGACCGAAGGCUCGAGUCCACCCUGACGGGUUCACGCGGCCCCACGCGGCUUGGAUCGCCGCCUGACUCAGCCAGACCCAGAACCCCGGGCUUGAUGUGCUCGGCUGUGUCUAGCCUAUGAAAACACUAUCCCAGAACUCAGUCCGGCCCAUUUUCUGUUGGGAUAGGCCCAGAAAAUCCACUGCAGUCAGGUUUUGUUCUGAAGCCAUUAUAGUGUCACUAUUGUUACGAUCAUUCCAGGUACUACAGAUCUUUGAAUUAAGCAUGGUCACUGCUGGGUCCUGUCAGGUGUAUUUGGGACGGGUAUUCCGUGGAGAUGCCUGAGCUUCCUCAUCAGGAUUACUCAAGGAGCUCAGGGUUAACAACUUUCCCCACUAGAGUGAAGAUCAAGCUCUGAAGGGCCACCUGAGAGUGACCACUGAAGACAUUGCCCUAUGAGGAGUAGGUCCUACUCUUUCUAAUUUGAGGAUAAUUCUUGGUGAUGGAAAAUGGAAGCAAAGUGGGAGCUGAUGAAUUCUGCUUUUUUCUCUGUCAUCUGUUGUCACUACACCUUCUGUUCCCUGUUCUUCUUGCUCAGAACAUCAACUUUCCUGACAUUACCUUUAUCUAUCAGUGCUAUUAAACACUAUG
Long non-coding RNA from Equus caballus (horse), 721 nucleotides. RefSeq lists it as uncharacterized. The record is from RefSeq and is a predicted model, not a curated record. NCBI's taxonomy places the organism in Eukaryota, Metazoa, Chordata, Mammalia, Perissodactyla, Equidae.